GUGUCAGCCGCCGCGGUAAUACGAAGGGGGCUAGCGUUGUUCGGAAUUACUGGGCGUAAAGCGCGCGUAGGCGGUUUUCCAAGUCGGGCGUGAAAGCCCCGGGCUCAACCCGGGAAAUGCGCUCGAAACUUGAAGACUGGAGGCCGGAAGAGGGUAGUGGAAUUCCCAGUGUAGAGGUGAAAUUCGUAGAUAUUGGGAAGAACACCAGUGGCGAAGGCGGCUACCUGGUCCGGAUCUGACGCUGAGGCGCGAAAGCGUGGGGAGCAAACAGGAUUAGAAACCCCUGUAGUCC
RNAcentral lists this ribosomal RNA (292 nucleotides) under uncultured bacterium. RNAcentral describes it as "partial 16S ribosomal RNA". It matches the Rfam family "Bacterial small subunit ribosomal RNA", at positions 505 to 796 of the family's 1533-position model. The record is from RNAcentral.